Molecule: long non-coding RNA, 417 nt
Filed under: Mus musculus (house mouse)
Lineage: Eukaryota; Metazoa; Chordata; Mammalia; Rodentia; Muridae
Description: long non-coding RNA chr4:58589763-58590180
Source: RNAcentral
GCCCCAGAUAAAGGCCAGAAGACACUGGGUCUCAUUCCCGUCACAAUGCCCUCAGAAUCGAGCCUUUGGAGAGUCAUGAUCUCCUCCAGGAAGGGUUUUCUUGUGUGAAAAAUGAACUUCUUCCCACUCACCUUCUUGAAUUAUCAGAAAAGAAAAGUUUCAGCUCAACCAAGAUAAAAUGAACUUUCCCACACCAAGGAAUCCCCAGGGUCUGUUCACUCCACUGAGGUCACAAAUGGAACCCAGAGUGGUGCAUUGAGUUCAGUGUGCUCCAUUGGUUCUGAGUGCAGGCCUCACGCUGUACUGAGGGGCAAUGAUGAGACCAUUGGUUCUAAGACUACCCUUAAUGACCCAUCACAAAGAGAACUGGUGGGAGAGUCCCAUUUCAUGGUAGAAUGUGCUCUGGGCUUGCUGUAA